UUUGGAGUUAUAUACUGUAUAUUUAUCUAUCAAUCAGCCCUUCCCAUUCAGAAUGCUGUUCGAUCAAGGGACUUCCCUGGAACGGUGAUAGUCAAGCACCAUUGAACGGGAUAGGAGAAGCUAUGGGACCUUGAAUCAGAAUGUUCCCCUGCUGUUGCUUUCUACCCCGACCGACGACCGGAGGGGCAGCGGCUUCUACUACCAGCUAAGCUGCCUAUCGAAAUGAAAGGAAAGGUAUGAAGGGAAUACAGUCUAUUUAUAAAUUAGGUGGAUGAUUGGCAAAACAGUUGAUAAUUAUCUAAUAGCGGAACUCCCAUUCAUACGGCAACCAUCCCUCUGGUCUCGUUAACUUAUCAGGGACAAGGGUCCUCAAAUCUAACAACACUUAUCAUACAGCACCUUCUCCGCUCUCUUUAUCUCAUUCUCGCGAGGUUCUUCUGAAAAGUUUAGUAAUUGACCUGAUUUCUCGUGUCACGAGUGGUUAUCCAUGAAAGAGAAGGAGUAAGCAGAGGAUUGGGAAUACUUCGAUGGACUAGAUUCUUGGUCACGAUCGCUCUGAUAGUCAUGGGAAAAAGUGGGUAAGUCAAAGGUACAGAUCUGUGGCGGAGAGCUAUCAGAGUCUACCCAUCCAUUGCGUUGAAAUGGGAUUAUGAGCGGAGGCGAUCGGUGGUCACUCGAUGCUGAAAACACCUGACGAGAUGUCUUUGACGAAUUUCCAGCUACUUUUGUACGAGCCGCUGGCUGUCGUUUCCAGCUAAAGUUAUCAUUUAGGAAAUCCUGCGUCAUCUGUGGAGGCUUUAAAGGGGAAAGAGAGAUAUCGAGAGCAUUUAUUGUUGAUUUAUGGCUUGUCCUUUUGGCAAGGGAUACCAGCGUUUUCGACCACGUUAAUUCUCCCGCAGGUCCCUCUGAAUCAACGCAUCCUUUCGCAUCAGGCAAUACAGCCGAAUGCCUCAUCGCACUUGCUUGUUCUGACCAGGUGGCACUAUUCACUGGUGCUUUGCUCUUGGUUUCCUGCAAAGAUAGCCACUCUUUGCCUCUAGGAGCUAUCUCGCAAUCCGAAGGAGGACAUUGUCGGGACUCUUCUUUUUCUGUGGUUGAAUUGUUCACCUUCAUUUCUUCAGUCGGCCGUUUUUCUUUUGCUUGCCAAAUAGCCCUCUCAACUUCUUUGAGAGUCACACCUUGUGAUAAGAUCUGAGCCCGCUCAUUAGAACUUAUCUCAUCUUUUCCACUUUGGCGGUUUCGCUCAGCUUCAUCGACCGCUGAUUGCCCUUUACAUUCGCUAUCACCCUUAUUCACGGACUUCAUCAUUAUUUGAGCAACCAACCCUUGUCUUUCGGCUUUGGCUUUCCUUUCCUGUCUUGUCUCAUCUUGAAUGGUGUCUUCUUUGACUGCUUUAGUUAGCUUUGCCUGCUUGAUUUUGAAAAGCUUCAGAGAAAUCUCAGUAUCCGCCAUCUCCAUUUGAGUGUUGUAUUUUUUCUGCUCCUUGAUCGGCAGAUCCCCAUGGCUCUUGAUAAUUUCCAUCCCUUCCUCUCCAACAGCAGUCUGGGAUGACCCGAUCUCGAUUUUCAGACUUUUGAUCAUGCUCCUCAGUUCGUUGGCUUCUUUAAUGCGCAAUUGCUUCUCGUGAGCGGCCAAAUCAUCCCCUUUGAUGGACUCGGUGAGCUUCGAGCACUUUGAAUUGUAUUGGGCAAGGAGCCUGCCCUUGUCCGCGAUCGAAAGCGCUGCUGGGGCACCAUUGGUUUCGAUAAAUGAUGAUAGAGGCGAUGAUGCCUUCGAAUGAGCACUGCCUUCAUGUUGGGGCGCGGGAGCGGUAGCUUCAGCUUCUUCCUUGUCGCUGAUCUGUUUUGUUAUAGGACCUUUCGCUUCCUUGCUGACGUCUUUUACUUUGCUCGCUUGUUCAUUUGCUUCGACCUCUUCCAUGAGUGCUUUAAUUUCCUUCUUCACCCUAUCUGCCUCUUUCAUUUUUCCCAGCUUUUCUUGGUGCAUCGAAGAGGCUUCAUUCAAAGCUUUGGCAAUGGCAGCAUUUUUGAUUUUGUAGUGCUCGAUGGCUUUAUCUCGUUCACUAAUAGUGUUUUUGCGAAGGCGUUUGUCGUACAAUCGGGGAGAGGUAGCCGGAGGCGAUACUUCAGGCAAUUUCUUUUCAACCAUAGUUUCUUUUAUUGGCUUUUCAUCUUGGAGCUUGACAUCUGUUUCGACAACUGAAUGAUUGAUGCUGGAACAACGUUCAUCGCUCAAGACAUGAUCUUGGAGGCCUGGUUCGUCCUUGCCCUCAUUUCCUAUCACGCUUUUAUCCAUCAAAACGUCACAUACUGGCUCUUGGACCGGAUGAGCUAUCUGCGUAGUAGGUAUCAUCUGAAGAAGUUGUUCCUCCCCUUCGUUCACUUUGUUUCUUCUUGGUUCUUCGGCCUCUAGUUCUGCAUUGAUGACUCUGUGUUCCCCUUUAUUAAACUUCUUCUCUACCAAAUUUUUUUUCUUUGCGCUUGGCCGACGGUUUUCCUGUACAUCAUCUAUUGCCCUGCCUUUGCCUUUGCCUUUGCCUGAUCUCCGCUGUACCUUCACUUCACCUUUACCAUUUGCGAGACUCCCCUGAUCCGGCUUAGCAAUAUCAAUCGCCUGCAUAGCCUCUCGUAACUUUCCUUCUGUCUCCUUGGCUAUUGCUUUCAUCCGAUUCCUCUCAUCAUCAUUUUCAGACGCUUCGUACUUUUUGACGGCUCUACUGUAAUUCUGCCGAUAUUCUAAGACACACGUUUCAAGCGUUUUGAGAUCCGUUGAGUCAUCUGCUGCAGUAGAAUAUGAGGUUGGAGUAGAUUUGGCGAUGUUGCUUGCAGCAAUAGUUGUAUCACCUUUGCCUUGAUGUCCUGCAUGUUGGGUUUCUAAUGUGCUGUUGGUCUCUUUCAAAGGUUCGUCCUGAUCUGAUCUAACUUCUUUCCUCUCACUUGACCUUCGAUCAGACGAAUCAUUAUCAUCCCCGGCUUCUCGCUCCGUGUCUUCCAAAGCCCGGAUGGUUUCUUUCAAUCUCCUCUCUGCACUUCUUACUUUUUCAUUCCGUUGUUUCUUUUCGCUCUGUUCCAAACGUGUCUCCUUACAACUUUCUAGAGUUCGAUUGCAUGCGGUGUCGUGCUUUUGUGCAUACGUUUUGAGCGGGGAUAGACAUGAUUUUAAGAUGACCGGGUUAACGAGGGUGGAAUGAGGAGGGCGCUUUGUGACUGCGUUUUGCUCAUCGCUUGUGGAGUGAUGACCAGAGGGCCACCAUUGCGGACCUGGAGGAUAUGUCAUCCAUGGAUAAGGACAGGGAAGUUGAAGACAACAUCCAUAUGGAGAGGCCAUAUGAGGCAGCUGUUGAUGACACGACCUGUUCACCGAUGUAUCAGAUAAGCGGUUG
RNAcentral lists this small RNA (3382 nucleotides) under Cryptococcus neoformans H99. Its description in RNAcentral is "Cryptococcus neoformans var. grubii H99 hypothetical RNA". Lineage: Eukaryota; Fungi; Basidiomycota; Tremellomycetes; Tremellales; Cryptococcaceae. The record is from RNAcentral.